UCCAAUGUGGUGUAGUGGCUAACAUUGCUGUCUUUCAAAUUAUCCUUGGCACAGCAGCCCGGGGUUCGAUUCCCCGCAUUGGAA
This is a transfer RNA of 84 nucleotides. It matches the Rfam family "tRNA". Rfam says of the family: Transfer RNA (tRNA) molecules are approximately 80 nucleotides in length. The record is from Rfam.